AGACCCGAAACCCGGUGAUCUAGCCAUGGGCAGGUUGAAGGUUGGGUAACACUAACUGGAGGACCGAACCGACUAAUGUUGAAAAAUUAGCGGAUGACCUGUGGCUGGGGGUGAAAGGCCAAUCAAACCGGGAGAUAGCUGGUUCUCCCCGAAAGCUAUUUAGGUAGCGCCUCGUGAAUUCAUCUCCGGGGGUAGAGCACUGUUUCGGCUAGGGGGCCAUCCCGGCUUACCAACCCGAUGCAAACUGCGAAUACCGGAGAAUGUUAUCACGGGAGACACACGGCGGGUGCUAACGUCCGUCGUGAAGAGGGAAACAACCCAGACCGCCAGCUAAGGUCCCAAAGUCAUGGUUAAGUGGGAAACGAUGUGGGAAGGCCCAGACAGCCAGGAUGUUGGCUUAGAAGCAGCCAUCAUUUAAAGAAAGCGUAAUAGCUCACUGGUCGAGUCGGCCUGCGCGGAAGAUGUAACGGGGCUAAACCAUGCACCGAAGCUGCGGCAGCGAACGUAUCACCCAAGACAACUUUACGGAGUUGACGAUUGACGGAGCGAAGCGACGUCAAAGCGUUCAUUAAAGUCGAGUUGGCUUAGGGAUACGUUCGUUGGGUAGGGGAGCGUUCUGUAAGCCUGUGAAGGUGUGUCGUGAGGCAUGCUGGAGGUAUCAGAAGUGCGAAUGCUGACAUAAGUAACGAUAAAGCGGGUGAAAAGCCCGCUCGCCGGAAGACCAAGGGUUCCUGUCCAACGUUAAUCGGGGCAGGGUGAGUCGACCCCUAAGGCGAGGCCGAAAGGCGUAGUCGAUGGGAAACGGGUUAAUAUUCCCGUACUUGGUGUUACUGCGAAGGGGGGACGGAGAAGGCUAUGUUGGCCGGGCGACGGUUGUCCCGGUUUAAGGGUGUAGGUGUGUGUUCCAGGUAAAUCCGGUUCACUUUAACACUGAGGCGUGACGACGAGGCACUACGGUGCUGAAGCAACAAAUGCCCUGCUUCCAGGAAAAGCCUCUAAGCAUCAGGUAACACGAAAUCGUACCCCAAACCGACACAGGUGGUCAGGUAGAGAAUACCAAGGCGCUUGAGAGAACUCGGGUGAAGGAACUAGGCAAAAUGGUGCCGUAACUUCGGGAGAAGGCACGCUGACACGUAGGUGAAGUGAUUUACUCAUGGAGCUGAAGUCAGUCGAAGAUACCAGCUGGCUGCAACUGUUUAUUAAAAACACAGCACUGUGCAAACACGAGAGUGGACGUAUACGGUGUGACGCCUGCCCGGUGCCGGAAGGUUAAUUGAUGGGGUCAGCGUAAGCGAAGCUCCUGAUCGAAGCCCCGGUAAACGGCGGCCGUAACUAUAACGGUCCUAAGGUAGCGAAAUUCCUUGUCGGGUAAGUUCCGACCUGCACGAAUGGCGUAAUGAUGGCCAGGCUGUCUCCACCCGAGACUCAGU
Molecule: ribosomal RNA, 1430 nt
Filed under: Salmonella enterica subsp. enterica serovar Typhimurium
Lineage: Bacteria; Pseudomonadati; Pseudomonadota; Gammaproteobacteria; Enterobacterales; Enterobacteriaceae
Description: partial 23S ribosomal RNA
Rfam family: Bacterial large subunit ribosomal RNA
Source: RNAcentral